Molecule: ribosomal RNA, 192 nt
Filed under: Staphylococcus epidermidis
Lineage: Bacteria; Bacillati; Bacillota; Bacilli; Caryophanales; Staphylococcaceae
Description: partial 16S ribosomal RNA
Rfam family: Bacterial small subunit ribosomal RNA
Source: RNAcentral
UUUUAUGGAGAGUUUGAUCCUGGCUCAGGAUGAACGCUGGCGGCGUGCCUAAUACAUGCAAGUCGAGCGAACAGACGAGGAGCUUGCUCCUCUGACGUUAGCGGCGGACGGGUGAGUAACACGUGGAUAACCUACCUAUAAGACUGGGAUAACUUCGGGAAACCGGAGCUAAUACCGGAUAAUAUAUUGAAC